GGCCGCCUGGCGCAAUGGUAGCGCGUCGGUUUUCGGUACCGAAGGCUGUAGGUUCGAGUCCUGCGGCGGUCG
This is a transfer RNA of Saitoella complicata NRRL Y-17804, 72 nucleotides long. It matches the Rfam family "tRNA". From Rfam's summary of the family: Transfer RNA (tRNA) molecules are approximately 80 nucleotides in length. The record is from Rfam. NCBI's taxonomy places the organism in Eukaryota, Fungi, Ascomycota, Saitoellomycetes, Saitoellales, Saitoellaceae.